UACAGAGGCCUCGAGCGUUAGGCGGAAUCACUGGGCUUAAAGCGUGUGUAGGCGGACUUCUAAGUACCUUGUGAAAUCCCACGGCUUACCCGUGGAACGGCUGGGUAUACUGGUUGUCUUGAGCCACUUAGGGGCUACCGGAACAAAUGGUGGAGCGGUGAAAUGCGUAGAUAUCAUUUGGAACGCUAAUGGUGAAAACAGGUAGCUGGGAGUGUGCUGACGCUGAGACACGAAAGCCAGGGGAGCGAACGGG
This 253-nucleotide ribosomal RNA is filed under the name uncultured bacterium. Its description in RNAcentral is "partial 16S ribosomal RNA". It matches the Rfam family "Bacterial small subunit ribosomal RNA", at positions 524 to 776 of the family's 1533-position model. The record is from RNAcentral.